UACGUAUGGGGCAAGCGUUAUCCGGAUUUACUGGGUGUAAAGGGAGCGCAGGCGGCCUGGCAAGCCUGAUGUGAAAUACCGGGGCCCAACCCCGGGGCUGCAUUGGGAACUGCCAGGCUGGAGUGCCGGAGAGGCAGGCGGAAUUCCUAGUGUAGCGGUGAAAUGCGUAGAUAUAUGGAGGAACACCAGUGGCGAAAGCGGCUCUCUGGUCUGUAACUGACGCUGAGGUUCGAAAGCGUGGGUAGCAAACAGG
Molecule: ribosomal RNA, 253 nt
Filed under: uncultured bacterium
Lineage: Bacteria
Description: partial 16S ribosomal RNA
Rfam family: Bacterial small subunit ribosomal RNA
Source: RNAcentral